RNAcentral lists this ribosomal RNA (410 nucleotides) under uncultured bacterium. RNAcentral describes it as "partial 16S ribosomal RNA". It matches the Rfam family "Bacterial small subunit ribosomal RNA", at positions 355 to 755 of the family's 1533-position model. The record is from RNAcentral.
UGGGGAAUAUUGCACAAUGGGCGCAAGCCUGAUGCAGCCAUGCCGCGUGUGUGAAGAAGGCCUUCGGGUUGUAAAGCACUUUCAGCGAGGAGGAAGGUGGUGAGCUUAAUACGCUCAUCAAUUGACGUUACUCGCAGAAGAAGCACCGGCUAACUCCGUGCCAGCAGCCGCGGUAAUACGGAGGGUGCAAGCGUUAAUCGGAAUUACUGGGCGUAAAGCGCACGCAGGCGGUUUGUUAAGUCAGAUGUGAAAUCCCCGGGCUCAACCUGGGAACUGCAUUUGAAACUGGCAAGCUAGAGUCUCGUAGAGGGGGGUAGAAUUUCCAGGUGUAGCGGUGAAAUGCGUAGAGAUCUGGAGGAAUACCGGUGGCGAAGGCGGCCCCCCUGGANGAAGACUGACGCUCAGGUGCG